GUACUUUAUUUCUGAUAGGUUUAGUGUUUCUCGAUUCUUUCUUUGAUUUUUGCAUUUGUUUCUUGGUAAUGAGAAUUUGAUGGAUAUUUGUUACUUUUUCUAUUCUCUUGGAUAGGCUCUUGCUGGAUUUUAUACAUGCAUGCCACUAUUAUUUCUAUUUCCACAUGUAUGUUUGGAAAUAGAUAUGUAGGUGCAUGCUUGAGAUACAUAAUUGUUUCUAAUUUUAGUUGAGAAAGAUGGUACUUUGAACUGGAGCCCAAGUUCCGUUCUUGGAGCAGUGUUAUUGGACUUUACCAUUUGGUCUCUUGGCAUGAUUAUUCUUCUUCUAUAUUUUUUAUGUAGUACUUGUGCUCAUUGCAGUUCUCCAUUUAGCAAGAUUGAAGCGAAAUACUUUCGGAGUGUUUUAGAGAAAAUAUUGAAGAAAAGCAGUUCCGCAACCAGGAUUGUUUUUAUUUCCUAUCGAUUUGUUUUUUUCAGGAUCAUUGCAUCGAUAUUUUUGUUUACCUUUUUCGUGGAUUUUACUCUUCCUCUUCCAGUAAGGUUAUCCAUCUGUUGUAUACCUGUUUACCCGAAAAAUAGAUAGAGUUGAAUUUGUACGUAGUUCUAAGGUUAUGUGGUAUAACUUGACACAAAUCGUAAAGAGUAAGUAGAAAUAUCGAAUAUUGACUAUAAGAAAAGAUACAAACCCAGUUGAAAGGAACAUGAUUUGUGAACAAGCAAAAUGGAAUUAUGUGUGAAGCUAAAAAGGAUAAUCUCCCAAUAUGAUUAUGUAUCAAUAGUAUUCGAGUUACAGUGUAUUGAUAAUGUGAUCCCCUUACAGAAAUAAUAGUCAUCCCUCUUAUAGUGGAGGGAUCCUACUUUAGAUAUCAUAAAAAAUACAUAGUGGGAAACCCAUGAUAAAUCAGCUUUUCCCUAAUUUCCGCCGAGAUUCUCUCUCUUAGUGCGGCUUUAACGGCUCUUGUCUCUUGGCUCGAUCUUGAUUGGACUCGGUAUUGGUCGGUUUCCAGGUUUAGAGCUCGAUGCGGGUUUGAGCUCGAUGCCGACUCGGGGCCCAGCAUUGAUUCGGGCUCGGUGUCGGUUGGUCUCUGGCUCUGAAGCUUGAUACCAUCGCUUCUCAUCAUAGCUCGAUUUGGACUCGAGCUCGAUAAUGAUGUCGAACUCGGUAUUUAAUCUGACCCCGAAACUCGAAGCUCGUUCGUGCCUUCUUCAAAUCUCACCUCGAUAUUAUGAAGACGCUCUUCGAUCCGUCUUCACCGAUCGUACGAAGGUCGAAACGGUUUUGACCGUAUACAAUACCUUUUAAGUUUAAAAGAUUGAGCUUUCAGGUUGCUUACAUAUCCCAUGCAUGACAACUAAUUUGUAUAGAGGAUUCAUGACAAUCAUGGAUUAGCAGGUGCUUCAAUAUGUUUAUGGAAUUCUAUUACACUGCCAAAACGUAAGCAAAUGUUUCUGAACUCUCAAAAUUAAUUUAGAAAAUAGUUCUUUUGAAAGAAAAUGGAAGAUGUUUCCUUUAGUACUUUUUUUGUUUUGUUCUUUUAACACAAAACAUGCUGUAAACAGAAAUUAUCUUUUUCCUUAUCGCAACAAUGAUAUUUCCUUGGUAGAGACCAUUCUCAUGGCAAUGCAGCAUGUAUCAACUGGAACUCAUUUCUCAAUCCAUAGCCAGUAGAAAUAGUCAAAGGAGUGUGAAAAUGGUAAUUCAAGCGCUCAUCUAAGGUCCUACAGCAUACUCACUUCGCAUCUGGAAUCCAGAAGGAAGGUCAUGUUGUGCGCUAGAAAUAUCUUUGCGAGUAUUGUGAGACUUGCAACUUAUCAAGUCCUUGGAAGCAUACGUGAAAGGCAAUACGGCAAGUGCUAGCUACUUCUUAGCUGGUGCCAAAAAUUGCCACUGAAAAAGUUUGAUAGGAUGACCAAGAGGAAGCUCCAAAAAAGAAACCACAGACAAUUCAUGAUCCUUUGUUCACUGAUUGUAACAAAAUCAAGAUUAAAAAGAGGAAGAGGAAAUAGGAGUGUCAACAAAAGGUGAGGAGCAUAAAUAUACUCUUCUAUUGAACUGCAUAGUCUUUGAAAUAAUCUAGGAUGAACAUUCCUGAAACAAUUAUGGUACUUGUAUUAUAUAGGGCAUGCAAAUAAUUUUGUUAUUGUGUUACCAUUCCUAUUGAGGCUUCUCGCUCAUUAUCUUUUGGACAUGUUAGUAUAGCUUUCAAAUGGUUGUUGUGACUUAAUGAUGAUUUUGUCUAUAAAUGAUAAAAUGGUUCUAUUUUCAUAGGCUAAUAACCCAUAAUCUUAUGAACUUGCUAUUCACAAAAGUGGUAAUCACAUAGGAUUUCUCUAGCUUUGAAUCUUCUUUAAAGGUUUCAUAUAUUUGUGCAUGCACAUGAUGACAGAUCAUUGAUGGUGCUGACUGUAUACUGAGCCCAAGUUCAUUGGUAACUUGUGGUCUCAUUAAAUAAACUUCUCAUUGCUCAAAAUGGAUUAUCCAUCUUACUGCUUUCCUGUUGUGUUACAGUUGCUAAAAAGAACAUGAAUGAAAGACUUUGGUAGAGUUCUUCACAAUAAGAAAUUUAAUUUAUGAGAUGUAACUAAGGGGAAGUUUAUAAGUUUUUUUAUGAGGAGCAUCAGUUUCACUUCACUAACAUUGUUAGCCAAUUUAUUUGUGUAAGUUAACAGCUGUGUACAGGGAUGCAAUCAGGGAACUAAUGGUGUAGUCCUUGGAGUAACAAGCAUGUCCAAAUUAUGUCGCCUUUCUUGGUGGACGCAGUAUCAGUCCUUCCUGUCUACUUUCAUUUGACAUGACACCUCAUAUGAUCGUGUAGUCUUUUAGAUGAUCUGUGUGUAUUAUUCAUAGAGGGUGCCUUUUAUUUUUUAUCUCGAAACUGACAGAAACUGCCAUAGUUCAUUUACUUCCUUUUGUGUUAGGUUGUUUUGUCAUUACUCAACCAUAUAUAUAUGUAUUUUUUUGAUCAGUAAUCAUGUUGACUUAUUUGAAUUUAUGAAUGAUACAAUUCUAAGA
Nicotiana tabacum (common tobacco) is the source of this 3013-nucleotide long non-coding RNA. RefSeq lists it as uncharacterized. The record is from RefSeq and is a predicted model, not a curated record. NCBI's taxonomy places the organism in Eukaryota, Viridiplantae, Streptophyta, Magnoliopsida, Solanales, Solanaceae.